RNAcentral lists this ribosomal RNA (500 nucleotides) under uncultured bacterium. Its description in RNAcentral is "partial 16S ribosomal RNA". It matches the Rfam family "Bacterial small subunit ribosomal RNA", at positions 30 to 523 of the family's 1533-position model. The record is from RNAcentral.
AUUGAACGCUGGCGGAAUGCUUUACACAUGCAAGUCGAACGGCAGCACGGACUUCGGUCUGGUGGCGAGUGGCGAACGGGUGAGUAAUACAUCGGAACGUGCCCAAUCGUGGGGGAUAACGUAGCGAAAGCUACGCCAAUACCGCAUACGAUCUAAGGAUGAAAGCGGGGGAUCGCAAGACCUCGCGCGAUUGGCGCCGCCGAUGGCAGAUUAGGUAGCUGGUAGGGUAAAGGCCCACCAAGCCAACGAUCGGUAGCUCGUCGGAGAGGACGACCAGCCACACUGGAACUGAGACACGGUCCAGACUCCGACGGGAGGCAUCAGUGGGGAAUUUUGGACAAUGGGCGAAAGCCUGAUCCAGCCCUUCCGCGUGCAGGAUGAAGGCCCUCGGGUUGUAAACUGCUUUUGUACAGAACGAAAAGGUUUCUACUAAUACUAGGAGCUCAUGACGGUACUGUAAGAAUAAGCACCGGCUAACUACGUGCCAGCCGCCGCGGUAA